Long non-coding RNA from Cyprinodon tularosa, 237 nucleotides. RefSeq lists it as uncharacterized. The record is from RefSeq and is a predicted model, not a curated record. The transcript has 3 exons. NCBI's taxonomy places the organism in Eukaryota, Metazoa, Chordata, Actinopteri, Cyprinodontiformes, Cyprinodontidae.
GAUGAGGAGCUGGUCCAGGCUGCUGGUGACAUGGAGGAAUAUGAACCUGAAGUGAAACAAUGAACAGGCGGGUCCUUCCACCGCCUCUCUACCUCAGAGGGUGUCCCCUGCUGGACAGGGGGAACCCACCGACGAGGAGCUGCUGGAGGCCACGCAGGAGCAGGGAGAACCUCUGCAGCCGCAGGAUCCUCCAGAGCCACCCUCCACGCAGGAGACCCCGUCCAGACGAGACCCUGU